This 253-nucleotide ribosomal RNA is filed under the name uncultured bacterium. RNAcentral's name for it is "partial 16S ribosomal RNA". It matches the Rfam family "Bacterial small subunit ribosomal RNA", at positions 524 to 776 of the family's 1533-position model. The record is from RNAcentral.
UACAGAGACUGCAAGCGUUAUUCAGAUUCACUGGGCGUAAAGGGUGCGCAGGCGGCCAAGUGUGUGAGGCGUGAAAGCCCGGGGCUUAACCCCGGAAUUGCACCUCAAACUACAUGGCUAGAGCAUUGGAGAGGGUAGCAGAAUUCAUGGUGUAGCAGUGAAAUGCGUAGAUAUCAUGAGGAAUACCAGAGGCGAAGGCGGCUACCUGGACAAUUGCUGACGCUCAGGCACGAAAGCGUGGGGAGCAAAAGGG